GACGAACGCUGGCGGCGUGCUUAACACAUGCAAGUCGAACGGAAAGGCCCUGCUUUUGUGGGGUGCUCGAGUGGCGAACGGGUGAGUAACACGUGAGUAACCUGCCCUUGACUUUGGGAUAACUUCAGGAAACUGGGGCUAAUACCGGAUAGGAGCUCCUGCUGCAUGGUGGGGGUUGGAAAGUUUCGGCGGUUGGGGAUGGACUCGCGGCUUAUCAGCUUGUUGGUGGGGUAGUGGCUUACCAAGGCUUUGACGGGUAGCCGGCCUGAGAGGGUGACCGGCCACAUGGGGACUGAGGUACGGCCCAGACGCCUACGGGAGGCAGCAGUGGCGAAUAUUGCACAAUGGGCGGAAGCCUGUUGCAGCAGCGCCGCGUGCGGGAUGACGGCCUUCGGGUUGUAAACCGCUUUCGCCUGUGACGAAGCGUGAGUGACGGUAAUGGGUAAAGAAGCACCGGCUAACUACGUG
This 468-nucleotide ribosomal RNA is filed under the name uncultured bacterium. RNAcentral's name for it is "partial 16S ribosomal RNA". It matches the Rfam family "Bacterial small subunit ribosomal RNA", at positions 28 to 507 of the family's 1533-position model. The record is from RNAcentral.